Molecule: long non-coding RNA, 2020 nt
Organism: Cyprinus carpio carpio
Lineage: Eukaryota; Metazoa; Chordata; Actinopteri; Cypriniformes; Cyprinidae
Source: Ensembl
CUAGCAGCUAGCUAACGUUAAUUGGCUGCUGGUUGAGCUCACCCUCAUAACACAUGAUGUUCAGUUCUCACCGCAGCAAAACCUCAUUCGCUUCCCGCUUUGGCUCAACUUUUCACCGCGGCUCUUCCGGCCGCAGCGCCGCAUGUAGCCAGGCCUCCAGCUCGUGUAGCCAUAGACAUAAAUACUAUUAUUACUUAUGCUUGUAGCAGUCACUAGCGCGAGGCUGCUUCCGCUAACGGCGCAGGCCGUGUUGCAAAUUAAGUUUUUUGGGUAAAGAUACUAAAGGUAGGUUGUUUGUUGCUAGAAGUUUUUAAAUAACAGGAGAACAUCAUGGAUGUUGAUGUCAUUGUUGUAACCAUGACGCAAAACUGUGUAUAACACACAAUGAAAUUACUCACAUUUUCUGUAUUAAUUUUCAAUAGCAUUUUUCCUGUAUUUUAAAUUGCAUAUUGUACUCAGAUAGACAGAGAAGAUUGAAAUUGAUUUUCGAGAAAAUAAGUUCAACGGUGUACCUAAAAAAUUUACAAUUAUAGGUGCAAACUAACAACCAAGGUGUAUCAUAAAGAAACCAUUAAAAUUAUUGAACAAGUGCAACUAGCAACCUAAUUUGCAUGCGUUGUGCAUACUGCUAGGCACCUCACUCCAAGUCUCUACCAGCUGAUGUGUGGCUUGGCUGGCUAGCUGUUUCAAUACUUACUACUUUUUGUGUUGUUAAGAGGAAAAGUGUCUUUUCUUCAUUCUAUCACGUUUUUAAAUGUUGUUCACGAGUUCACACUUACAUAUAAUUAGCUGAAGUAUAUAAUGCAUAUUUGGCGUGCUGUCCGGGGAAGGGCUCCGAGCUCGGGAAUGGCCCGAACCUAGAGUACCCCCCCUACAUAAGUGUAAAAUGAACUCUAAGUGGAGGAGAUGGGGUGGAGAGGGGAUGCUGAUAAACCGUCAAUGGAUAGGGGUGAGUCAGCUGUAUUUAUACCCUAGUGUUGAUUAUCUUAAGUGAGCUCCACCUGUGGUAAUUAGGCUAAGUAUCUGACGUGCUCCUCCCGAACCUUGUUAAUAAAACAUCAUUUCACGAGUUCACACUUACAUAUAAUUAGCUGAAGUAUAUAAUGCAUAUUUGGCGUGCUGUCCGGGGAAGGGCUCCGAGCUCGGGAAUGGCCCGAACCUAGAGUACCCCCCCUACAUAAGUGUAAAAUGAACUCUAAGUGGAGGAGAUGGGGUGGAGGGGGGAUGCUGAUAAACCGUCAAUGGAUAGGGGUGAGUCAGCUGUAUUAAUACCCUAGUGUUGAUUAUCUUAAGUGAGCUCCACCUGUGGUAAUUAGGCUAAGUAUCUGACGUGCUCCUCCCGAACCUUGUUAAUAAAACAUCAUUUCACGAGUUCACACUUACAUAUAAUUAGCUGAAGUAUAUAAUGCAUAUUUGGCGUGCUGUCCGGGGAAGGGCUCCGAGCUCGGGAAUGGCCCGAACCUAGAGUACCCCCCAAAAAGGCAAUAGCAAAAGGACAGCCACCAGACUAAGGACCCCCCCACAAUAGCAUUGAGAUCUGGCGGGGGCUGAUAUUUGGAAAGUCAGCUGGUUGGCAGGCCGGAAGAGCCUACGUACUCUGGUGGGAGUGACUUGUACAUUUGGAAAGGUAGGCCCUACCGGCUGCUGGUAUUGAACUACGUGAUUUGUGGCGCCCGGUCGGGAGGGCUGGAGCCGUUGCUCAACCGGAGCACCUCACUGCAUUGGAACGGAUGAGCCCUACCGGCUGAUGAAGGAGGAGCAGCGUGAUUGAAUAGCCCGACCAGGAGGGCCUGAGUUGCCUCGACUGGAAUAGGUCACAGUGUUGGCGUACGGGCCCUACUGGCUGAUGAGCCCCUGCUAAUCAGUGGGCAACCAGGGCAGAUAACUGACUGAGAGGGCCCAUGAAGCCUCCGACUGGAGAUCGAGACUCAGGACGACGGACGUGUAGGUCCUCUCAGUUGAGCAGAUAAACAGGCUUUGGGCCACCGGCAAAGAGGACUCUAGCGACAUCGGACGGGAG